Molecule: long non-coding RNA, 1165 nt
Organism: Peromyscus eremicus (cactus mouse)
Lineage: Eukaryota; Metazoa; Chordata; Mammalia; Rodentia; Cricetidae
Exons: 3
Source: RefSeq, a predicted model, not a curated record
CAGGAAGAAUUGCUGUUGCAGCAACCAAUAUUCCUAAUAGAGAAACAAUACCCAGAGGGAUGAAGAGAUUUGCUAGGGUCACAAGUUCAUAGCACCAGAGGAAAAAGAACAUCAUGAGAGCAAACUUGGACAUGGAGCCUCCAACAUGUGUCAAGUCUUCAGUGAACUGAAUGAUUCAUGAGAGGCCCUGAGGAAGAAUCAUCUAGCCUGGCUCCUCAUGGGUACCUGACACUAUGAGAUAUUUCAUGUUUUUUCAAGUUGUGCAUUUAUUUGGGGGCAAUUAAUUCUGCAUCACCAGACAUGUGACAAGACCAUUCAUCCCCCUCUUAGUCGUUAUGUCCAAGGGAGAGAAUGUGGACAGACAUGUCAGAAGACAACCUGCAGGCUCUCACUGAAAUGACUAAGAGACAAUGAUGGCCACCACUGUUGCUCUGUCCUUCAUGCCUAAGACCCUGUUGCAUCUUCCUACCUGCUGAGGUGAGCCUCAUUGUUGACUGCCUACUGUGAAGGAUCCCAGGACCAGACACUAGUCAAUGCUGAGUCAAUCCAGGAGUAUGAUCCUGACCAGCUGAAUGGUGUCUGUCCUCUCCAUCAUCACAGCUUUGGAACCUGCUGACCCAUACCCAGACUGGCUGUGAGGACACACUGAUGUAACAGCUGAGGAACCAUACAGCCUUCCUGGUGGUGUGAAGGAUGCCUUUGUUAUCAAACUGUUUGAGUUCUUCAGAAUUCUACGUACAGAAUCCUGAGCUGCAGACAUUUCUUCCCAUCCUGGGGGUUGUCUCCUCACACUCACAGUACUGGGGAACCAAAACUUCACAUAUAUAAGCCAAUCCAGCAUUCCACCACUAAGCUAACUCCAAAGCCCUCUUCUCUUUCUCCUUGAAUUUUUACUUUAUGUGGUUCCAUGUGUUUGUGAAUGUGUAUGUGUACAUCCAUGUGCACAUCCACGUGAAGGUCAGAAGUCAACUUCAACUGUCAUUCCUCUUCCAUCUUGGUUUUAGGAUAAGGUCUCUCCAUAGGCUUGCAAUUCAUUGAAUUGUCAAGGUUGGCUCUCCCAGGAGUCCCAGGAACCAACCUGUCUCCACCCCAGAGCUGGGAUCACAAGUUCAUGUCAUCAUAGUUGGCUUUUUUACUUCAGGGAAUAAAUUCAGAUCCUCAUGCA